RNAcentral lists this ribosomal RNA (1351 nucleotides) under metagenome. RNAcentral's name for it is "bacterial LSU rRNA". It matches the Rfam family "Bacterial large subunit ribosomal RNA", at positions 1564 to 2925 of the family's 2925-position model. The record is from RNAcentral.
GUUUGGGAGGAGUUUACGAACUCCGUUUGGUCAAGGAUAGUGCCAGGAAAAGCUAGUAAUGUGAUGAAGAUAUCUUACCCGUACCCGAAACCGACACUGGUAGGGAGGUUGAGAAUACCAAGGGGCGCGAGAUAACUCUCUCUAAGGAACUCGGCAAAAUGGCCCCGUAACUUCGGAAGAAGGGGUGCCCACGAGAGUGGGUCGCAGUGAAGAGAUCCAGGCGACUGUUUUACCAAAAGCACAGGUCUCCGCAAACUCGAAAGAGGACGUAUGGGGGCUGACGCCUGCCCAGUGCCGGAAGGUUAAGGAAGUUGGUCAGUGGCAACAUGAAGCUAGCGACUGAAGCCCCGGUGAACGGCGGCCGUAACUAUAACGGUCCUAAGGUAGCGAAAUUCCUUGUCGGGUAAGUUCCGACCCGCACGAAAGGCGUAACGAUCUGGAUGGUGUCUCAGAGAGAGACUCGGCGAAAUAGGAAUGUCUGUGAAGAUACGGACUGCCUGCACCUGGACAGAAAGACCCUAUGAAGCUUUACUGUAGCCUGGAAUUGUGUUCGGGCUUGGCUUGCGCAGGAUAGGUGGGAAGCGAUGAACUUCUCCUUGUGGGGAGAAGGGAGCUAACGGUGAGAUACCACUCUGGCGAAGCUAGAAUUCUAACUCAUCUCCGUCAGCCGGAGAGAGGACAGUUUCAGGUGGGCAGUUUGACUGGGGCGGUCGCCUCCUAAAAGGUAACGGAGGCGCGCAAAGGUUCUCUCAGCACGCUUGGAAACCGUGCGGCGAGUGUAAAGGCAAUAAGAGAGCUUGACUGUAAGACCGACAAGUCGAACAGGUACGAAAGUAGGCCUUAGUGAUCCGACGGUUCAGCAUGGAAUGGCCGUCGCUCAACGGAUAAAAGUUACUCUAGGGAUAACAGGCUGAUCUCCCCCAAGAGUUCACAUCGACGGGGAGGUUUGGCACCUCGAUGUCGGCUCACCCAGCCUGGGGCGGAAGUACGUCCCAAGGGUUGGGCUGUUCGCCCAUUAAAGCAGUACGUGAGCUGGGUUCAGAACGUCGUGAGACAGUUCGGUCCAUAUCCGGUGCAGGCGUAAGAACAUUGAGAGGAGUCCUCCUUAGUACGAGAGGACCGGGAGGAACGAACCGCUGGUGUACCAGUUAUUGUACCAACAGUAGACGCUGGGUAGCCAAGUUCGGAGCGGAUAACCGCUGAAAGCAUCUAAGUGGGAAGCCCACCUCAAGAUGAGUGUUCUCACUACUUUAAGUAGGUAAGGUCACGGGCAGAACACCCGUUUAUAGGCUUUAAGUGGAAGUACAGUAAUGUAUGUAGCUGAGAAGUCCUAACAGACCGAGGGCUUGGC